RNAcentral lists this ribosomal RNA (843 nucleotides) under Acinetobacter sp. RNAcentral describes it as "bacterial SSU rRNA". It matches the Rfam family "Bacterial small subunit ribosomal RNA", at positions 657 to 1493 of the family's 1533-position model. Lineage: Bacteria; Pseudomonadati; Pseudomonadota; Gammaproteobacteria; Moraxellales; Moraxellaceae. The record is from RNAcentral.
AUGGGUGAAUUCCUGGUGUAGCGGUGAAAUGCUUAGAGAUCUGGAGGAUUACCGAUGGCGAGGGCAGCCUUUUGUCCUUAUUCUGCCCAGUGAGGUGCGAAAGCAUGGGGACCAACCAGGUUUAGAUACCCUGGUAGUCCAUGCCGUAAACGAGGUGUACUAGCCGUUGGGGCCCUUGAGCCUUUAGUGGCGCAGCUAACGCGUUAAGCAGUCCGCCUGGGGAGUACGGUCGCAAGACUAAAACUCAAAUGAAUUGACGGGGGCCCGCACAAGCGGUGGAGCAUGUGGUUUAAUUCGAUGCAACGCGAAGAACCUUACCUGGUCUUGACAUCCUGAGAACUUUCCAGAGAUGGAUUGGUGCCUUCGGGAACUGUGAUACAGGUGCUGCAUGGCUGUCGUCAGCUCGUGUCGUGAGAUGUUGGGUUAAGUCCCGCAACGAGCGCAACCCUUUUCCUUAUUUGCCAGCACUUCGGGUGGGAACUUUAAGGAUACUGCCAGUGACAAACUGGAGGAAGGCGGGGACGACGUCAAGUCAUCAUGGCCCUUACGGCCAGGGCUACACCCGUGUUCCAAUGGUCGGUCCAAAGGGUUGCUACCCCGCGAGCAGAUGCUAAUCUCAAAAAGCCGUUCCUAGUCCGGAUCGCAGUCUGCAAUUCGAUUCCGUGAAGUCGGAAUCGUUAGUAAUCGCGGAUCAGAAUGCCGCGGUGAAUACGUUCCCGGGCCUUUUACACGCCGCCCGUCCCACCAUGGGAGUUUGCACCACCAGAUUAGGGUGUGCUCAACCUUAAGGAGGCCGCUUACCACACGGUGUGGCAGAUGACUGGGGUGAAGUUUCAUUCAACG